GAUGAACGCUGGCGGCGUGCCUAAUACAUGCAAGUCGAGCGAACGGACGAGAAGCUUGCUUCUCUGAUGUUAGCGGCGGACGGGUGAGUAACACGUGGAUAACCUACCUAUAAGACUGGGAUAACUUCGGGAAACCGGAGCUAAUACCGGAUGAUAUUUUGAACCGCAUGGUUCAAAAGUGAAAGACGGUCUUGCUGUCACUUAUAGAUGGAUCCGCGCUGCAUUAGCUAGUUGGUAAGGUAACGGCUUACCAAGGCAACGAUGCAUAGCCGACCUGAGAGGGUGAUCGGCCACACUGGAACUGAAACACGGUCCAGACUCCUACGGGAGGCAUCAGUAGGGAAUCUUCCGCAAUGGGCGAAAGCCUGACGGAGCAACGCCGCGUGAGUGAUGAAGGUCUUCGGAUCGUAAAACUCUGUUAUUAGGGAAGAACAUAUGUGUAAGUAACUGUGCACAUCUUGACGGUACCUAAUCAGAAAGCCACGGCUAACUACGUG
This 497-nucleotide ribosomal RNA is filed under the name uncultured bacterium. Its description in RNAcentral is "partial 16S ribosomal RNA". It matches the Rfam family "Bacterial small subunit ribosomal RNA", at positions 28 to 507 of the family's 1533-position model. The record is from RNAcentral.